GACGAACUUUGGCGGCGUGCUUAACACAUGCAAGUCGAACGGAAAGGCCCUGCUUUUGUGGGGUGCUCGAGUGGCGAACGGGUGAGUAACACGUGAGUAACCUGCCCUUGACUUUGGGAUAACUUCAGGAAACUGGGGCUAAUACCGGAUAGGAGCUCCUGCUGCAUGGUGGGGGUUGGAAAGUUUCGGCGGUUGGGGAUGGACUCGCGGCUUAUCAGCUUGUUGGUGGGGUAGUGGCUUACCAAGGCUUUGACGGGUAGCCGGCCUGAGAGGGUGACCGGCCACAUUGGGACUGAGAUACGGCCCAGACUCCUACGGGAGGCAGCAGUGGGGAAUAUUGCACAAUGGGCGGAAGCCUGAUGCAGCAACGCCGCGUGCGGGAUGACGGCCUUCGGGUUGUAAACCGCUUUCGCCUGUGACGAAGCGUGAGUGACGGUAAUGGGUAAAGAAGCACCGGCUAACUACGUGCCAGCAGCCGCGGUGAUACGUAGGGUGCGAGCGUUGUCCGGAUUUAUUGGGCGUAAAGGGCUCGUAGGUGGUUGAUCGCGUCGGAAGUGUAAUCUUGGGGCUUAACCCUGAGCGUGCUUUCGAUACGGGUUGACUUGAGGAAGGUAGGGGAGAAUGGAAUUCCUGGUGGAGCGGUGGAAUGCGCAGAUAUCAGGAGGAGCACCAGUGGCGAAGGCGGUUCUCUGGGCCUUUCCUGACGCUGAGGAGCGAAAGCGUGGGGAGCGAACAGGCUUAGAUACCCUGGUAGUCCACGCUGUAAACGGUGGGUACUAGGUGUGGGGUCCAUUCCACGGGUUCCGUGCCGUAGCUAACGCUUUAAGUACCCCGCCUGGGGAGUACGGCCGCAAGGCUAAAACUCAAAGGAAUUGACGGGGCCCCGCACAAGCGGCGGAGCAUGCGGAUUAAUUCGAUGCAACGCGUAGAACCUUACCUGGGUUUGACAUGGAUCGGGAGUGCUCAGAGAUGGGUGUGCCUCUUUUGGGGUCGGUUCACAGGUGGUGCAUGCCUGUCGUCAGCUCGUGUCGUGAGAUGUUGGGUUAAGUCCCGCAACGAGCGCAACCCUUGUUCACUGUUGCCAGCACGUUAUGGUGGGGACUCAGUGGAGACCGCCGGGGUCAACUCGGAGGAAGGUGGGGAUGACGUCAAGUCAUCAUGCCCCUUAUGUCCAGGGCUUCACGCAUGCUACAAUGGCUGGUACAGAGAGUGGCGAGCCUGUGAGGGUGAGCGAAUCUCGGAAAGCCGGUCUCAGUUCGGAUUGGGGUCUGCAACUCGACCUCAUGAAGUCGGAGUCGCUAGUAAUCGCAAAUCAGCAACGCUGCGGUGAAUACGUUCCCGGGGC
RNAcentral lists this ribosomal RNA (1345 nucleotides) under uncultured bacterium. RNAcentral describes it as "partial 16S ribosomal RNA". It matches the Rfam family "Bacterial small subunit ribosomal RNA", at positions 28 to 1380 of the family's 1533-position model. The record is from RNAcentral.